RNAcentral lists this unclassified non-coding RNA (736 nucleotides) under Sargentodoxa cuneata. RNAcentral describes it as "sequence contains 18S rRNA gene, ITS1, 5.8S rRNA gene, ITS2 and 28S rRNA gene". The stretch from base 1 to 92 matches the Rfam family "Eukaryotic small subunit ribosomal RNA". Lineage: Eukaryota; Viridiplantae; Streptophyta; Magnoliopsida; Ranunculales; Lardizabalaceae. The record is from RNAcentral.
CGUCGWCGCGAGAAGUCCACUGAACCUUAUCAUUUAGAGGAAGGAGAAGUCGUAACAAGGUUUCCGUAGGUGAACCUGCGGAAGGAUCAUUGUCGAAACCUGCCCAGCAGACCGACCGGGAAAUAUCAAAGUUAUKCCCUCCUACUUCAGGGSGAGUCCCCCUCCUCGGGGGAGGGYCAGCCUCUGGCAAUCAAUGAACCCCCGRCGCRSAACGARWCAAGGAAUACUAAAAUGAGAUGGCCAGCCCCGUCGUGCUCCGUGUCAUGCCGCCGGGUGCGGGAGCAACUAGGNGUCUUGCUUAAUAAGAAAMAACUCUMUGCAABSGAUAUCUBACCUCWMGCAUCGAGGAAAAACGGACAGAAAUGCGAUAUUGCAGAAGAAUUGCAAMAUCCCGUGAACCAUUUGGUCUUUGAACGCAAGUUGCGCCCGAAGUCGUCAGUCCGAGGGCACGUCURSCUGGCCGUCACGCAUCGCUGUCCCCCCUACUGUGCGCUUGGUACAYCAAGGGGGAGCGGAUGAUGGCCUCGGGUGCCCCCCACUAGGAGUGUGGAGUGCCCAAAUUCMMMUCUCCUUGCGUACUGACGUCACGGCAAGUGGUGGUCGUAMCGAGUGUGCAUAUCGUCRCGCCGUGCCCCAGUCGUCGUUCGGCAAUUGACCMUAAUGAGCCCCUUCAGUGCGGCUCUCAAACCGCGACCCCAGGUCAGGCGGGAUCACCCGCUGAGUUUAAGCAUAUCAA